AGCGAACGCUGGCGGCGUGCCUAACACAUGCAAGUCGAACGUGAAAAGGGAAACCUGAGUAAAGUGGCGUACGGGUGAGUAACGCGUAGGUAAUCUACCCCAGAAUCUGGAAUAACCUGCCGAAAGGCGGGCUAAUACUGGAUAGAGCGAGGGAACUCGUAAGAGAGUUUUUCGGGAAAGGGAGCCCGCAAGGGCCUUCGUUCUGGGAUGAGCCUGCGUCUCAUUAGCUAGUUGGUAAGGUAACGGCUUACCAAGGCGAUGAUGAGUAGCUGGUCUGAGAGGAUGAUCAGCCACACUGGAACUGAAACACGGUCCAGACUCCUACGGGAGGAAGCAGUGGGGAAUCUUGCGAAAUGGACGAAAGUCUGACGCAGCCACGCCGCGUGAGUGAAGAAGGCCUUCGGGUUGUAAAGCUCUGUCGGAUGGGACGAAAAUCUUCAUAGUGAAUAGCUAUGAGGACUGACGGUACCAUCAAAGGAAGCACCGGCUAACUCCGUG
This 498-nucleotide ribosomal RNA is filed under the name uncultured bacterium. RNAcentral describes it as "partial 16S ribosomal RNA". It matches the Rfam family "Bacterial small subunit ribosomal RNA", at positions 29 to 507 of the family's 1533-position model. The record is from RNAcentral.